This 465-nucleotide ribosomal RNA is filed under the name uncultured Acidobacteriota bacterium. Its description in RNAcentral is "bacterial SSU rRNA". It matches the Rfam family "Bacterial small subunit ribosomal RNA", at positions 355 to 833 of the family's 1533-position model. The record is from RNAcentral. Lineage: Bacteria; Pseudomonadati; Acidobacteriota.
UGGGGAAUUUUGCGCAAUGGGCGAAAGCCUGACGCAGCAACGCCGCGUGGAGGAUGAAGGUUUUCGGAUCGUAAACUCCUGUCCUCGGGGACGAAAAAAAUGACGGUACCCGGGGAGGAAGCCCCGGCUAACUCCGUGCCAGCAGCCGCGGUAAUACGGGGGGGGCAAGCGUUGUUCGGAAUUACUGGGCGUAAAGGGCGCGUAGGCGGCCUGGGAAGUUCUGGGUGAAAGCCCCCGGCUCAACCGGGGAAGUGCCUGGGAAACCACUGGGCUGGAGUGCUGGAGAGGGAAGCGGAAUUCCUGGUGUAGCGGUGAAAUGCGUAGAGAUCAGGAGGAACAUCGGGCGGCGAAGGCGGCUUCCUGGACAGACACUGACGCUGAGGCGCGAAAGCCAGGGGAGCAAACAGGAUUAGAUACCCUGGUAGUCCUGGCUGUAAACGAUGAUGACUUGGUGUGAGGGGUAGC